Molecule: small RNA, 175 nt
Filed under: Chrysemys picta bellii (western painted turtle)
Lineage: Eukaryota; Metazoa; Chordata; Testudines; Emydidae
Description: TUC338 (ENSCPBG00000026602.1)
Source: RNAcentral
UGAUAACCCUGGAGCCUGAUGUGCAAUAUUUAUCCACAGGACAAGUGCAACUCAGACAGUAGCAGUACAAACUUCCUUACCUGCCCUGCCAAUGUGCUGCAGUUCUGAUGGAGAGGGACCACAUCCCGGUGAAAGGUGGCAGUGAAGUCUAUGGGGAAGAUUGUCUAAGGCACAA